GACAGAGGGUGCAGACGUUGUUCGGAAUUACUGGGCGUAAAGCGCGUGUAGGCUGCUUCGAAAGUCGGAUGUGAAAGCCCUGGGCUCAACCUAGGAAGUGCAUUCGAAACUUCGAAGCUUGAGUUCUGGAGAGGAAGGCGGAAUUCUCGGUGUAGAGGUGAAAUUCGUAGAUAUCGAGAGGAACACCGGUGGCGAAGGCGGCCUUCUGGACAGUGACUGACGCUGAGACGCGAAAGCGUGGGGAGCAAACAGG
This 253-nucleotide ribosomal RNA is filed under the name uncultured bacterium. RNAcentral's name for it is "partial 16S ribosomal RNA". It matches the Rfam family "Bacterial small subunit ribosomal RNA", at positions 524 to 776 of the family's 1533-position model. The record is from RNAcentral.